CCUACGGGAGGCUGCAGUGAGGAAUAUUGGUCAAUGGACGAGAGUCUGAACCAGCCAAGUAGCGUGAAGGAUGACUGCCCUAUGGGUUGUAAACUUCUUUUAUAUGGGAAUAAAAUGUUCCACGUGUGGGAUUUUGUAUGUACCAUAUGAAUAAGGAUCGGCUAACUCCGUGCCAGCAGCCGCGGUAAUACGGAGGAUCCGAGCGUUAUCCGGAUUUAUUGGGUUUAAAGGGAGCGUAGGUGGAUUGUUAAGUCAGUUGUGAAAGUUUGCGGCUCAACCGUAAAAUUGCAGUUGAAACUGGCAGUCUUGAGUACAGUAGAGGUGGGCGGAACUCGUGGUGUAGCGGUGAAAUGCUUAGAUAUCACGAAGAACUCCGAUUGCGAAGGCAGUUCACUGGACUGCAACUGACACUGAGGCUCGAAAGUGUGGGUAUCAAACAGGAUUAGAUACCCGAGUAGUC
This 460-nucleotide ribosomal RNA is filed under the name uncultured bacterium. Its description in RNAcentral is "partial 16S ribosomal RNA". It matches the Rfam family "Bacterial small subunit ribosomal RNA", at positions 338 to 795 of the family's 1533-position model. The record is from RNAcentral.